This 731-nucleotide ribosomal RNA is filed under the name Staphylococcus aureus. RNAcentral describes it as "bacterial SSU rRNA". It matches the Rfam family "Bacterial small subunit ribosomal RNA", at positions 196 to 914 of the family's 1533-position model. The record is from RNAcentral. Lineage: Bacteria; Bacillati; Bacillota; Bacilli; Caryophanales; Staphylococcaceae.
AAAAGUGAAAGACGGUCUUGCUGUCACUUAUAGAUGGAUCCGCGCUGCAUUAGCUAGUUGGUAAGGUAACGGCUUACCAAGGCAACGAUGCAUAGCCGACCUGAGAGGGUGAUCGGCCACACUGGAACUGAGACACGGUCCAGACUCCUACGGGAGGCAGCAGUAGGGAAUCUUCCGCAAUGGGCGAAAGCCUGACGGAGCAACGCCGCGUGAGUGAUGAAGGUCUUCGGAUCGUAAAACUCUGUUAUUAGGGAAGAACAUAUGUGUAAGUAACUGUGCACAUCUUGACGGUACCUAAUCAGAAAGCCACGGCUAACUACGUGCCAGCAGCCGCGGUAAUACGUAGGUGGCAAGCGUUAUCCGGAAUUAUUGGGCGUAAAGCGCGCGUAGGCGGUUUUUUAAGUCUGAUGUGAAAGCCCACGGCUCAACCGUGGAGGGUCAUUGGAAACUGGAAAACUUGAGUGCAGAAGAGGAAAGUGGAAUUCCAUGUGUAGCGGUGAAAUGCGCAGAGAUAUGGAGGAACACCAGUGGCGAAGGCGACUUUCUGGUCUGUAACUGACGCUGAUGUGCGAAAGCGUGGGGAUCAAACAGGAUUAGAUACCCUGGUAGUCCACGCCGUAAACGAUGAGUGCUAAGUGUUAGGGGGUUUCCGCCCCUUAGUGCUGCAGCUAACGCAUUAAGCACUCCGCCUGGGGAGUACGACCGCAAGGUUGAAACUCAAAGGAAUUGAC